This 63-nucleotide transfer RNA is filed under the name Thrips hawaiiensis. RNAcentral's name for it is "tRNA-His". It matches the Rfam family "tRNA". From Rfam's summary of the family: Transfer RNA (tRNA) molecules are approximately 80 nucleotides in length. Their secondary structure includes four short double-helical elements and three loops (D, anti-codon, and T loops). Lineage: Eukaryota; Metazoa; Arthropoda; Insecta; Thysanoptera; Thripidae. The record is from RNAcentral.
AUUUUGUUAGUUUAAAGAAAACGUUGAUUUGUGGAAUCAAAGAUGAAUUUUAUUCACAAAAUU